GGGGAUUUAGCUCAGCGGUAGAGCGCCUGCCUAGCGAGCGCAAGGCCCUGGGUUCGGUCCCCAGCUCCA
Molecule: non-coding RNA, 69 nt
Organism: Rattus norvegicus (Norway rat)
Lineage: Eukaryota; Metazoa; Chordata; Mammalia; Rodentia; Muridae
Source: Rfam